This 400-nucleotide ribosomal RNA is filed under the name uncultured beta proteobacterium Ch2E. RNAcentral describes it as "bacterial SSU rRNA". It matches the Rfam family "Bacterial small subunit ribosomal RNA", at positions 232 to 622 of the family's 1533-position model. The record is from RNAcentral. Lineage: Bacteria; Pseudomonadati; Pseudomonadota; Betaproteobacteria.
GAUGUCUGAUUAGCUAGUUGGUAAGGGUAAUGGCUUACCANGGCGACGNUCAGUAGUUGGUCUGAGAGGACGGCCAGCCACACUGGGACUGAGACACGGCCCAGACUCCUACGGGAGGCAGCAGUGGGGAAUUUUGGACAAUGGGCGCAAGCCUGAUCCAGCAAUGCCGCGUGAGUGAAGAAGGCCUUCGGGUUGUAAAGCUCUUUCAGUCGAGAAGAAAAGGUUGUGACUAAUAAUCACAACUCAUGACGGUAUCGACAGAAGAAGCACCGGCUAACUACGUGCCAGCAGCCGCGGUAAUACGUAGGGUGCGAGCGUUAAUCGGAAUUACUGGGCGUAAAGGGUGCGCAGGCGGUUUUGUAAGUCAGAUGUGAAAUCCCCGGGGCUUAACCUGGGAACU